UACGUAGGGUGCAAGCGUUUGUCCGGAAUUAUUGGGCGUAAAGAGCUCGUAGGCGGUUUGUCGCGUCUGCUGUGAAAACGCGAGGCUCAACCUCGCGCCUGCAGUGGGUACGGGCAGACUAGAGUGUGGUAGGGGAGACUGGAAUUCCUGGUGUAGCGGUGAAAUGCGCAGAUAUCAGGAGGAACACCGAUGGCGAAGGCAGGUCUCUGGGCCACUACUGACGCUGAGAAGCGAAAGCAUGGGGAGCGAACAGG
This 254-nucleotide ribosomal RNA is filed under the name uncultured bacterium. RNAcentral's name for it is "partial 16S ribosomal RNA". It matches the Rfam family "Bacterial small subunit ribosomal RNA", at positions 524 to 776 of the family's 1533-position model. The record is from RNAcentral.